GCCCCCACAGCCAUGUUAGGAACAGGAGGAGAACCUCGUCCUAAUAUGAGCAAAGUCGAAGAUCCAGUUAUUAAGAGCCGGAUGGGGGGAGAGGCCCUCGCAACGGUCCUUAUGUGCCCACAGUCCUGUUAGGAACAGGAGAAAAAUCUCAUCCUAACAUGAGCUGAAAUUGACUGUGUCGGGAACAGAAAAUGAAGACCUGAACGUUUAAGACCGGAUGAGGAGAAAAGCCUCCUCAAUGGCUCCUCUACACCCCUACAACUCCGUUAGGAGCAGAGAGAAAACCCUCGUCCAAACGUUAAAAAAAAAAAAAGAGGGAGAGAAAAAGGAAAAGCGACGAGCUAUGUCAG
Molecule: long non-coding RNA, 350 nt
Filed under: Elaeis guineensis (African oil palm)
Lineage: Eukaryota; Viridiplantae; Streptophyta; Magnoliopsida; Arecales; Arecaceae
Description: long non-coding RNA (EGUI_LNC028634)
Source: RNAcentral